RNAcentral lists this small nuclear RNA (135 nucleotides) under Setaria italica (foxtail millet). RNAcentral's name for it is "snRNA U4". It matches the Rfam family "U4 spliceosomal RNA". Rfam says of the family: U4 small nuclear RNA (U4 snRNA) is a component of the major U2-dependent spliceosome. Lineage: Eukaryota; Viridiplantae; Streptophyta; Magnoliopsida; Poales; Poaceae. The record is from Rfam by way of RNAcentral. RNAcentral also lists the same sequence under 1 other name.
CCCCUUGCGCUUGGGGCAAUGACGCAGCUGGUGAGGUUUUACCGAGGCGCGUCGAUUGCUGGUUUGAAAACUAAAACUAUUUCCAAGUCCCUUCUGCGGCCCACGGCCAGCAGAGAAUUUCAAGGGUAAAGCCCU